Molecule: ribosomal RNA, 462 nt
Filed under: uncultured Cryptanaerobacter sp.
Lineage: Bacteria; Bacillati; Bacillota; Clostridia; Eubacteriales; Desulfotomaculaceae
Description: bacterial SSU rRNA
Rfam family: Bacterial small subunit ribosomal RNA
Source: RNAcentral
ACAAGCGGUGGAGCAUGUGGUUUAAUUCGAUGCAACGCGAAGAACCUUACCUGGGCUUGACAUCCCUGGAAUCCCCUGGGAAACAGGGGAGUGCCCUUCGGGGAGCCAGGAGACAGGUGCUGCAUGGCUGUCAUCAGCUCGUGUCGUGAGAUGUUGGGUUAAGUCCCGCAACGAGCGCAACCCCUACGUUUAGUUGCUAACGUGUAACGAUGAGCACUCUAGGCGGACUGCCGUUGACAAAACGGAGGAAGGUGGGAUGACGUCAAAUCAUCAUGCCCCUUAUGUUCUGGGCUACACACGUGCUACAAUGGCCGGUACAAAGGGACGCAAAGCCGCGAGGUGGAGCAAAUCCGAUAAAAGCCGGUCUCAGUUCGGAUUGCAGGCUGCAAUUCGCCUGCAUGAAGUCGGAAUCGCUAGUAAUCGCAGGUCAGCAUACUCGCGGUCGAAUACGUUCCGGGCCUU